This 492-nucleotide ribosomal RNA is filed under the name uncultured bacterium. RNAcentral's name for it is "partial 16S ribosomal RNA". It matches the Rfam family "Bacterial small subunit ribosomal RNA", at positions 29 to 507 of the family's 1533-position model. The record is from RNAcentral.
AGUGAACGCUGGCGGUAGGCCUAACACAUGCAAGUCGAACGGCAGCACAGUAAGAGCUUGCUCUUACGGGUGGCGAGUGGCGGACGGGUGAGGCAUACAUCGGAAUCUACUUUUUCGUGGGGGAUAACGUAGGGAAACUUACGCUAAUACAGCAUACGACCUACGGGUGAAAGCAGGGGAUCUUCGGACCUUGCGCGAUUGAAUGAGCCGAUGUCGGAUUAGCUAGUUGGCGGGGUAAAGGCCCACCAAGGCGACGAUCCGUAGCUGGUCUGAGAGGAUGAUCAGCCACACUGGAACUGAGACACGGUCCAGACUCCUACGGGAGGCAGCAGUGGGGAAUAUUGGACAAUGGGCGCAAGCCUGAUCCAGCCAUACCGCGUGGGUGAAGAAGGCCUUCGGGUUGUAAAGCCCUUUUGUUGGGAAAGAAAAGCAGCAGGUUAAUACCCCGCUGUUCUGACGGUACCCAAAGAAUAAGCACCGGCUAACUUCGUG